AUGCUAUGUUGUGAUCCAUACUCGGUUCCCCCAGUCCUCUCUCUGGGUGUAGAUAGCUCUCUUCAUCACAAGAUCAUUGGAACUGGUCUGAAUCAUCUCAUUAUUGGAGAGUCACAUCCAUCAGAACUGAUUAUCGUAUAAUAUUGUUGUUUCCAUGUACAAUAAUCUCCUGGUUCUGCUCACUUCACUCAGCAUCAGUUUAUGCAAGUCUCUCCAGGCCUUUCUGAAAUCAUCCUGCUGGUCAUUUCUUACAGAACAAUAAUAUUCCAUAAUAUUCAUAUACCACAAUUUAUUCAGCCAUUCUCCAACUGAUGGGCAUCCAUUCAGUUUCCAGCUUCUGGCCACUACAAACAGGGCUGCCACAAACAUUUUGGCACAUACAGGUCCCUUUCCCUUCUUUAGUAUCUCUUUGGGAUAUAAGCCCACUAGUAACACUGCUGGAUCAAAGGGUAUGCAAAGUUUGAUAACUUUUUGAGCAUAGUUCCAAAUUGCUGUCCAGAAUGGCUGGAUUCAUUUACAAUUCCACCAACAAUGUAUCAGUGUCCCAGUUUUCCCAUAUCCCCUCCAACAUGCAUCAUUAUCUUUUCCAUCAUAUUAGUCAAUCUGAGAGAUGUCUAGUGGUAUCUGAGUGGCCUUAAUUUGCGUUUCUCUGAUGAAUAAUGAUUUAGAGCAUCUUUUCAUAUGACCAGAAAUGGUUUCAAUUUCUUCAUCUGAAAAGUGUGUGCUCAUAUCCUUUUACCAUUUAUCAAUUGGGGAAUGGCUUGAAUUCUUAUAAAUUUGAGUUGAGUUAAAUUUUAAAAAGAUAAAUGUAUGAAAACUAAAUUUGAGGAACUUCGAGCAGGUAAAUAGGAGUAGGGAAGAAAAUGAAGGGACAGACUACCAUCAAAACAGUGUGAAUAGGGAUGAAAUUAAUCAUAGAAAUGAAAUGCUGACUUAAAAGAGGACAAAAAUCAAUACAAAAUAAAAAGGAUAAGUAAAAAAAAACUUGACAAUCUACUACAUAUGAGAAACAAGUGAUGCCUUUCUCUAGUUUAUAAUGGCAUUUAUAGAAUACUGUAAGGCUUGCAAAGAGCUUUACAAAUAUCUCAUUUUAUCCUCACAAGAAC
Molecule: long non-coding RNA, 1106 nt
Filed under: Sarcophilus harrisii (Tasmanian devil)
Lineage: Eukaryota; Metazoa; Chordata; Mammalia; Dasyuromorphia; Dasyuridae
Description: lncRNA (ENSSHAG00000029788.1)
Source: RNAcentral